Molecule: long non-coding RNA, 6326 nt
Filed under: Sus scrofa (pig)
Lineage: Eukaryota; Metazoa; Chordata; Mammalia; Artiodactyla; Suidae
Description: lncRNA (ENSSSCG00060069732.1)
Source: RNAcentral
ACUGACUGAAGAAUGUGGUGAGCAGAAUCUGCUGGUUUAACAUCAUUCCCCGAACUAAUGCAGCACAGAUUGGAGUUUCUGGAACAAAGGCGCUGUUAUAGAGGCAGCUCGCACCCUGAGCAGCAGCGAGAGUGGCCCCGCCAAGCUCUUUCCCCAGGAACCACGGUCAGCAUCUCAGCAUCCAGCCACCAUAGCUUGGAGCCCUGUCCGUGAGCAUUUGCACUUUCACUCUGUUUUGUGCAUCCGUUAACAAGAUGUGGCCUGAGGUCAUUGCUUCUUUGCUUUACACCAUUUCAGUUCAUAGGAAGCCUCUGCUUGCAUAUAGCCAGGGAGACCUGUAUUUUUGCUGUCUAUAAUCUAAACAAACCAAAUAUAAUUCUUGUUCUUUAGGAGUUUGUCAUAUAUAUCUUUACAGAGAGAUUAUUAAAUCAGUCAAUUAAUCAGUACCUAAGCAUCAGGUAUAUGAGAUCCUGAUCUUUCAUUUUUUUUAAGAUGGUUGUCCCUCAAGGGGAUGGUUGUUUUCAAGGUUUGAAUAAUCUUUGAGCUCUCCACUGAACAGGAGAGACCAUUAUAGAGUCCAGAGAAGUUCUUGGAGCCACUUCUGUCUGUGUGAUACCUUUAUUGUGCCAUCCUAGCUCUGUACUUCUGCUUUGCUGUCUGUGCAAUGGCUGUGGAAACAUUCUCCUGUUUUUCUAAAAUAAUAAUUUAAUGAAGGAAAUUGGUGUUAUAAAUUUAUAUGCAUAGGAAGCAAACUGCAUUCUUAAUGCCAUUAUAAUGCAUGUGGUAGUGCUUUUUUUUUUCUGGUUCUCCAAUAGGACUAUUAAUAUUUUUACGAGUCAUGAAUGCUUAAAUACACUUAUCUAUUGGCUUAGUUUUGGUACUUGUGUUUAAUCUUUGCCUUAGCAUCUAUCACCACUGGCCCUCUGAAAGUUAAAUAAUUUGUCCAUAAUUAUAAAGCAACUGGACAUCACUGGAAGGCCGUUGAAUUGUUGAAUUACAUUUUCUCUAUUAGCUUCAAAUGACUUGCAAAGACAACUUAAUACAUACAUUAUGUGAUAAAAUGGCUAAAAAAAUACGUAAGUAUUUGACUUAGUAAGUCACUUAAAUACAAGAAAGAAAUGUUAUAAAUAUAUAAAAAUGGACUCUGUAUCUCAGAGCUAUUGUGUUAACUGUGUGAAGUAAUGCACUUUAUGAAACUAUUUAAAUUGCAUAAAAUUUUUAUGACUUACAGGUAAAUUUGUCAGCAUCUAAUUGAGUAAGAGAUUCUUGAAAGCUUUCACUGCAAUUGUUAAUUCAGCAUCAUUGUUCUCUCAGGCUGUUACGUGACCCAACAGGCUGGGAGAACAAUAUUGCUGAAUAUAAUUGGCAUAUGUCAGCAAAAUAUAAUUAGUAACAAGCUUCUUUCUGAAAUGCUCUUUUUGUUGGUUUAAAAAAGUUGAUUUCCUCUUGAAUUAAAUUACAGCUUGGACCUCUCUCUCGUUUGAUUUUGAUAGAUCUUUAAAAAAGCACAAAUAAAUUUUGAUUCAAGAAGUAUGAAUUUGAUUUCCUGGGCCGUGCACACACUGUGAAGGCUUGCCUUUCCUUCAGUGGGUUUUCAGUUUAAUUUUGGGUGUGAGCGCUUUGUAUAGGAAGUAUGGGACAGUGUAUUCUUGAAGGUUAUCAUGAAUGCCCAUCCCGUCAAUUUCCGUUCCAGCCUUGCCUCCCUCCUGCCGCCCCCCCACUUGGAGAUUUGGAAUAAGUGCAAUAACAGGUUAUUUCUCAGGUUAUUGUGGGUGGUAGUUACUGACACCAAAGGUUCAGACUAAAGACAGUGUUUGAAUCGGUUAUCACUGCAUCUCUGUACAUUUAACUCCAGCCAUAUCAUGGCCAAGGUUGGUAAUGGGGGGGAGGGGGAGUAAGUUACAAUUGUCUUUCCUUUAACAGUAUAAAAAAGAAGAUGGAAAUCUUUCACUCUACAGCAUUUUUUUUCCUAUAAUACAUCAUUUUUUUUUAAUGGGAACAGAAACAUAUUUGCCAAAUUGUUCUUUCUGUGAGAAAAAGAACUUUUCACAAUUUCUUCAGAACUCGAGGUUGCAACAAAACAGACUUUUAGUGAAAGGUUGCUUUAGAAUCACAUCUGGAAAUGUGGUCAUUUCACCUAAGCAUGUUGUGUCUUUGUAGUUAUACCCAACCAUCUGAGCAAAGGUCCAACCUGACCCAGCCCACAGCAUCAGUGGGAUGAACCUGGAGGAGUAAGGAAAAUGAGGGGACCAGGGCUUAGCCAUUCACACUGGCCUGCACCCAUGCUGGUGCCCUGCGAGGGCAACACACCAGAGAGAUCAGAGCUCUUGGUCAUCCUCAUUGCCAAGGUCUUUCACAUCUUUAACCUAAUCCAAUGUCAUACUCUGAUCCUCCCUCAGUUGCUCUCUCACCCUGGAUUGGAGGCUCCUGGAUACCAUUCCUGUCUUUGAAGCAGACAGCUCCUUUUCUCCCUGGUCCUCUGUUUUGGCCCCAGGCCCUGUGUUCCUGGGAGCCUGUCUUUCAUUCUUCCGUGCUCCACACAAACCCCGACCGCCUGGCAUUUAUGUUGUAGUGUUAUAGAUCUCACCAUCCUUUAUGCACAGGGAUCAUUCUAAACCCAGAAAAGCUCUGCAUGUAAAAUAAAUUUGGGGCAUGGAGGUGACAAGGUAGGAAAUCUGUCUGUCUCUUUCCAUGCACAUAAUCCAUUUCAAGGCUGAUGGGCAACUACAUUCGAUUCAGAUUCUUGGCCCUUUUAAAGUUAUUCAGUGGAAUACAACCUGUUAGGCAGAAUUAGUUCAGCUUAGUUAAAGGCCUGGAAAGCCAUGAAAAUAAUCAUAUUUAUAGACGUAUCAUGGUGAUCCUUUUGCAACAUAUACAAAUAUCAGAUCACUAUGUAGUACACCUGAAACUGAAAUGACAUUGGAUGUUAUAUUAGCAAAAUUUAAAAAAAAUUUAAAAAUCACAGUUGUUCAGAGGAGACUUAGAGGCAAAGGCUACCAACAAAUUCUGUUUUUUCUUGGAUACUUACCCAUAAGAAAUAGUAUAGACAGAGGCCAGAUCAGCUCAUCACAAAUAAGCUGGCUGUCACAGAGGGCUGGAAUGUAGUGGCAAGCCCUGGGUAGGACAAGUGGUAAUGAAGGCUAGGCCAUGAGAAAGUUUGAUAGGUGUCAACCAAACUUGCAAAACAGAUGAAUCAGAAGGAUGACCAUUUGGUAUUAGCAAAAAAUUAUAUGCUUUGUUUUGAGGGUUUUCAGCAUUUUCAAUUGAAAAAAAAUAUUAGUUCCUCCUGUUCAUGAUCGUAUGAUGUAAAAUUCUUCAGGGUAGUAGAAUCUAAGUCAUCUUUCAGGGCACAGGUUGAUAGAAUGGGAAGAGAGCUGAAUUGCAGGCAAGAGGGAUGAUGCCAGAGCAGAGCAUGAAAUCCUAACAGGACUUGGGUGCUCAUCUGUAAGAGAGCAGUGAUGUCAAGGUGGCUUCAGCAUCACGAGGAGUCAAUGGUGGACAUUUCCUUCAGGAAUCAGAGAACCUUCAUGGUGAGCUGGGCACAGAGGUUGAAUAAGAGUUCACUAAGACCGAAGAGCAGUAUCUAGACUUGUGAACAUUCCUGGUGAGGGUGGUAUGACUGAACUGUAAACCCAUCAUCUUGUGCUAAACAUGGAAAAGAGAGAAGCCCAAGCUCCAAAUCUUAGCUGUGUUAUCCACAUAAUCAAUAAAAUUGCACCUAUAAUUCUAAAGAGUUGCUGUUUUGCAUCCUUUAUCUUUGGGCUGUGGAACUUUGGAAACGUGACUAAAACAGAGAUAAAACAUAAUCUCAUAAUUUUUAAAAAAGCUUUUUUAGGGAGUUCCCAUUGUGGCUCAGUGGAAACAAAUCUGACUAGUAUCCAUGAGGACAGUUUCGAUCCCUGGCCUUGAUCAGUAGUGGGCUAAGGAUCUGGCGUUCCAUGAACUAUGGUGUAGGCUGCAGAUGCAGCUUGGAUCCAGCAUUGCUGUGGCUGUGGCAUAGGCUGACGGCUAUAGCUCUGAUUCGACCCCUAGCCUGGGAACCCCCCUAUGCCAUGGGUGCAGCCCUAAAAAGAAAAAAAAAANAUCUCAGAGGGAAGGCUCAUCACACUCCACUCUAAGCAAAGACUUAUUUGGGGCACUUCACAUAAACGGAGGAGGGUGGAGGAAAUUAAUUGAUUGCUAAAAAUUUAUGAGACUAAGUCCCUACCUAUGAAAGGAAAAUCAGAGAGUGGACAGAGGGGUCUACCAAAAGAAAACCAAACCUUUUUGCAUUGCAGAAGGUGUCCCUUUGAACAAAAUGGAAGAUUUUACCUAAGAAAAUACAGAAUUAUUAAAUGUUCUUAAAAGUGUAUAUGGAUAAUUUCAAAAGCAAACUGGAUUGUUUUCAUUCUCAUUUUGAAAAUGACCUGAAAUUUUGAGGGAAAAAAAUAAUAGAGAAUGCUUCUCCUUAAUUUGUUCAAAGAACUUCAACGUAAAAAUAAAAAAUCGGGAGGAGUUCCUGUCGUGGCACAGUGGAAACGAAUCUGAGUAGGAACCAUGAGGUUGUGGUUUCGAUCCCUGGCCUUGAUCAUUGGGUUAAGGAUCUGGUGUUGCUGUGGCUGUGGUGUAGGCCGGCAGCAACAGCUCUGAUUAGACCCCUAGCCUGGGAACCUCCAUAUGCCUCAGGUGCAACCCUAAAAAAGAAAGACAAAAAAUAAAAAAUCAGAACUCUUUCAUGCUUAACAGGUCAAAUGGUUUAUAGCAAAUAAUAUUGGAGGAAAUGCUUUUGGAGUCCGAAGUAAAUUAUUAAAGUAAUAAGGGAGCCAUUGUGAACAUGUUAAUUUUGUAUAACAGAUUAAUGUUUUUAUAGAGAAAUUGAGAUAGUCACAAAAAGUAAGCAUAGGUUUGCUCAAUUAAACUCUUUAAAAUAAGCUACAAGGAUAUAUUGUCCAUCACAGGGAAUUUAGCCAAUAUUUUACAAUAACUGCAAAUGGAGUAUAACCUUUAAAAAUUUGAAUCACUAUAUUGUACACCUUGUAAAUUAUAUAAUAUUAUAAGGAGCUAUACUUAAAUUUAAAAAACUUUAAAAAGCAAACCAUUUAAAAUGAAGGUAAUUGUGUCUAUGUGAAUGAAUCAUGUGCUCACUGUGAGAGUAGAGUCAGAGGUUUUUACAUAUAUUAAUUGAAUCUGAAAUAGCUAACUUGAAAACCCAUCUUCAUACCCUUACAAAUACUAUAAAUGAUUUGCACCGUGAUUCUACUCACCCAUUUACGUAUUAAUUACCCAUCCAACAAAUAUGUCUAGUAAUCCUUUUCUUCAGGCACCUUGUGGAGUGCUGGAGAAAGAAGAAUUAAUAAAAUACAACACUUGACUUGAGGAAUUCACGGUCCCUUGAGAAUGCUGGACAUGGAAGUCCCUAUAAAUCCUUUAUCCAUGCCUGAGGAGCUCACUCAACUUUGUUUCCAGAGAUGAACUUUAAGGUGGUUUGGUCCUAACAAAGUGAUACAUUUUGUUUUAAAAGUCAACGUGUACCCUACUUUUAAGUGGAUACCAGAGCUACUUCACCCAUGGUGUACAGGGGCAAAUUUCUCUGGGCAAGACCUAGGCAGGGGUCCUGAGCAAACCUUGAGGAUGGAGGGUUCACUGUUCUUCUGCCAAAUUUCAUGUGUACUUUGCCCUUCCAGAAGAGCAUGGCCCUAGAUAUAGGUAUUUAACACAAGUAAAGCAAUGAGUAGUUGCAGAAAAGGAAAAGAAACAAAAGAGAAGAAAAAAGGAGAGAACAGAGGAUUAACUGCAGAAAGAAUUCCAAAACGCUUCAAAAUACUCAAGAGGAAGAGAGCUUUGAGUGUGUAUACUGUAGACCCAAGAAGAGAAAUCUUUUUUUUUUCCUUUUCUUUUUUUGUCUUUUCUAGGGCUGCACCUGCGACAUAUGGAGGUUCCCAGACUAGGGGUCUAAUUGGAGCUGUAGCCGCCAGCCUACGCCACAGCCACAGCAAAGCGGGACCCAGCCACGUCUGCGACCUACACCACAGCUCACGGCAACGCUGGAUCCUUAACCCACUGAGCGAGGCCAGGGAUCGAACCCGCAACCUUAUGGUUCCUAGUCAGAUUCGUUAACCACUGAGCCACGACAGGAACUCCCAAGAAGACAAAUCUUGAGAAGAUGAAUUAUUAGGAGAAAAUUGAAGACCAACCAGUAAGUAAAGAAAGAAAGAAAGAGAAAGGAAGGAAGGAAGGAAGGAAGGAAGGAAGGAAAGAAGGAAAGAAAGAAAGAAAAGAAAGAAAGAAAGAAAGAAAGAAAGAAAGAAAGAAAGAAAGAAAGAAAGAAAGAAAGAAAGAAAGAAAAG